CUGUCUUAAACUCUUAUCGAAAGACAGUAGACUGUCGUCACUGUAGAAACAGUGAAAUCAGUUGAGCCGUCGUAGUGGCACACGAUGCGCGGUAACAUUUUGUUCAAGCUAUGAAGAGGGUAUUAAACAACCAUAAGGGCUGAUCAAUUUCCCAAGGCCGGCCGUAUGAUACGCCGAUACCGGUCUUUAAAUUAUAAAUCCCACAAAUUGUUGGAUUACUUCUUUUUUGCUAUUCUUCGCCUUAUGCGGAUAGCGCCAAGCAGCCACAAUACGUACAAGGAUCCGACUUCUACCUCAAUUACGUAGAAAAGUGCAGUUGUUUCGAGGUUUAACCGCUGCAAUCAGUGGUUGCACAUUGUACAACAAUCGCGCUUCUAAAAUGAUGGCUGAUGAUUCGAGUGUACGAGUGGCAGUCAGGAUACGGCCUCAGGUUGCUCGUGAGGUUAUAGACAUGUGCAGAGUAUGUACACAGGUACCGCCAGGAGAGCCACAGGUCUUCCUUGGGCCAGACAAAGCCUUCACAUACGAUCAUGUUUUCGAUACUGGCGUUGGACAAAAUACCAUAUAUGAGGCUUGUGUUGCACGUCUGGUGGACGGUGCUCUAGAUGGCUACAAUGCUACUGUUCUUGCUUAUGGUCAAACUGGCUCUGGAAAAACUUACACCAUGGGAACAGGUUUCGAUGUCGAAGUAGAUGAUAGCGUGAUCGGCAUAAUUCCUAGAGCCAUUACACACUUAUACAAUGGUAUAUUAGAAAAACAAGAGCGUGCCAGAGAACGCGGACAAAUGCCACCAGAGUUCAAGGUGACUGCACAAUUUCUCGAAUUAUACAACGAAGAACUCAAAGACUUGUUAGAGCCAGGUGGUCCAAGGGGAGGAGCUCGUAUUCACGAAGACACGACAGGAAGUAUUCAUUUGACGGGUGUAGAGCCAAGGAUUGUGACUAGUCCAGAAGAUGCUUUGGAGUGUUUGCGACUUGGAGCUCUCUCACGAACAACUGGCUCAACACAAAUGAAUACACAGUCUUCAAGGUCGCAUGCAAUAUUUACACUGCAUGUCAAACAGCAACGUUGUGUCAAAGUUGAAGACCCUGAUGCCGACGUUGACACUAGCGGCACCGAACCUGCUAGUGAGUUUGAAACUCUAACUGCUAAGUUUCAUUUUGUCGACUUGGCAGGGUCAGAAAGACUUAAACGAACUGGAGCUACCGGAGAAAGAGCUAAAGAAGGAAUAUCUAUCAAUUGCGGUUUGUUGGCACUUGGUAAUGUAAUAUCAGCCCUUGGAGACACAACGAAAAAAGCCCUCCAUGUACCUUAUCGAGAUUCCAAGCUAACAAGGCUACUGCAGGACUCGUUGGGAGGAAAUAGUCAAACGGUUAUGAUAGCAUGUGUCUCGCCAAGUGACCGUGAUUUCAUGGAAACACUGAGUACCUUGAAAUACGCUAAUAGAGCAAGAAACAUAAAGAACAAGGUGACAAUAAAUCAAGACAAGAGUUCGCGAACAAUUGCUUCUCUUCGCAGAGAAAUACAGCAGCUACAACUUGAAUUAAUGGAGUACAGGCAGGGCAAGAGAGUGGUCGGUGAAGAUGGUGUGAACGAUGCAUGGCACGAGAAUCAAAUGCUGAACAGUGAAUUGACCAGUCUUCGUACUAGAGUCAAAGCUCUUUCUGAAACUGUGGAAGCUCUUACAGCCAAAAACGCUCUUCUAUUAGCAGAAAAAGCAGCAGGUCAUUGGCUGGCAUCUGGAGGAAGUGGCAGCGAUGAUGUUACCAGCUUAGUGCAAGGCUACUUACAAGAAAUUGAAGAACUGCGUGCUCGAUUACUCGAAGCAGAAGCGAUGUAUCAGCAGUUGAAAAAGCGACAAGUUCAAGUUAAUGCAGCUAAUCUGUAUGGUGAACCGUCCUAUGUAUUUCAUAACGACUCUUCUUCUGUCCUGGCAGAAGCUAAGAAAGAACUUCAGAAAGAAAUUAACACAUUGGCAGCAUUAAAAGAACAGCAUACACCUAAUUCUAACACUUCUGCAAAAGUAGAAGGAGAAGAUGGAGAGCAGGAGGAAAAUGAUAAUGUUCACGAAUUCAUGAGCGAAGAUGAAUCUGAGGACGAUGCAGAUCGCAAAGAAGAAGAUGAAGAGGAAGAAGCUAUGGGGCGAGAGUUAGAAGCUCUGACGUCGGACAUAGAUGUUAAGCAGCGUUUAAUUCAAGAAUUGGAAUUGUCACAAAGAAGGCUGCUAACAAUGAAACAACAUUACGAAGACAAAUUGACUCAAUUGCAAGCACGUAUUAAAAAUACUACUGAAGAGCGCGAUAAAGUACUAUCAUCCUUACAGCAACACCCUGCUCCUCCAACUGAGAAAGUUAAAAAAUUACGAGAUGAGUACGAGCGAAAAUUAUCGUCAAUGCAAAAAGAGAUGCGAUUACUUCAGUCUGCCAAAAAAGAACAUGCGCGAUUAUUGCGCAGUCAAUCUCAAAGUGAGAAUAGGCUUAGAGGAUUGAGAAAUGAGUUGGCAGAGAUGAAGAGAGCAAAAGUUAAGCUACUGAACAAGAUGAGAGAAGAGGCCCAGAGGCAUAAAGAGAAUGAAUUGAGACGCAAUAGAGAGAUAGCUCAACUGCGUAAAGAAAGUCGUAAAAAUGCGAAUAUGAUUAGGAAUUUAGAGGCGGAUAAAAAAAUGAAGGAAGUGGUACUACGACGAAAGCAGGAAGAGGUAACGGCACUCAGGAAACGGGAUAGAGGUUUGAGUCAGAAGGCAGCUGGUAGGACAGUACUAAAAGAAAAGAGUCCAAAGGCCCUUAAACAAAGAUGGCAAACGUUUGAAAGAACUAUUACAAAGCAGGCAUUGGCAAAACAGGCUGCAGCUGAAACUGAAAGAGAAAUGGAAAGGCUUUUACAGGAGCGAGAAGAGUUGGGAAGAGAUUUAGAAAGACUUCAAAAACGAAGAGCUGUUGCUUCUGCUGCAAAUGGUGACACUGCUGACAUAGACGAAGAAAUUGAUAAUGUUAAGAGUAAAAUAAGCUACCUACAGGAUAGUAUAGCUGACUGUCAACGUGAUAUGGUGGAAAUGGGUGAAGUAGAAGGCGAGAGUGAGCCAGGCGCUGAGGUUCUGCUUGCCACAAUCAAGUCGGUUGACGAAGCACGCUAUUUAUUAGAAAGAAUGCUCGCAUUUACCGUAGAACAAAGUUGUAUGGCAGCACAGAGGCAAUCAGAAGUUCGUGACAUGGAAACUAGAUUGAACCAAGUUUCGCAGGAAAGCGAUGUGCAACAUCAGCUACUUGAACAUGUGCUGAGAGAUCGAGAUUUACUUUCACUUACCAACAAUCAUCAAAAUAAUUCUUCUAUCUAUAGCCCUAAUAGUUCAAGAAGUUCUUCGCCAGACAACAAUGACAGCUACAACCAAGUAAUUUCUGGAACUGAUGAUAAACAACAGAAAAGCAACAAAGUUCGACGGAGGACCACACAGCCACAGGAGCUACUUUACGGUGUUGCAGUCGGUUCAGAUACAAUAAAAGCAGAUGAAGAUCAAAAUCAAAAUCACAACCAUCCACUCACAAGGGUGCCCAGCGCUCCUGGCAGUCUGAAAGGUUUGGUACUGACUAGAAGUCAAUACGGAGUGGGAGUGGUUGUUGGCUCACCAACGCUAACUCGUCGUGAUAGUACCUCACCAAGGCCUCUGCGACGACCCCUCCAUCCUGGAGGAGGCUCCAUGGAACAGGUAGGACUGACGGAUGUAUCAUCACCACCUGGUUCGCCAACUGCUUAUCGUCGAUUCAAUAGUAGAGAAGAAAAUGUAUUUUCAAGGCUGACUGCCAGUAGGCAGCCAUUGCCUUCCGACCCUCAACCUACUAGAGGAGUCAUCUCCCAAUAUCAAGGAAAGGCACAGCCCAGAGCAAUUUUGCAAUGUAGUCAUAUAGCAGAAGGACAUAGCAAGGCUGUUCUUACUAUUUGUGCUACUAAUGAUCGUCUUUUCAGUGGUUCCAAAGAUCGUACAGUGAAAGUUUGGGACCUGGAAACUGGGCUGGAAAGUCUCACACUGAGUGGUCAUCCCAAUAAUGUUGUAGCAGUAAAAUAUUCUGUUGAACACCGCCUGCUUUUUAGUAUAUCAGCAGCAUAUGUAAAAGUUUGGGAUUUACGAGCUGGAAACUCUUGUGUCAAAACGCUCUUUUCAUCUGGUCAAGCUCAGAGCGGCCCUCUGGCUCUAUCAACACCAUCUAGAACUCUUCAACUUCCUGUUGGAGAGACAACAAUAAAUGACGUGGCUCUAAGUCUUGACGAAAAAGAACUUUAUACGGCAACUAGUGACAAAGUUAGAAUAUGGGACUUGCGCAAGUUAACUUACAGUGGAAGACUGAGUACAGCUCACACUGCUGCAGUAAUGUGUUUGGCAGUUGCUUCUGAUGGCAGAGUAAUUACUGGUAGCAAAGACCACCUUAUAGCUCUUGUAGAGCCAAAUACUUCUGGACAAUCUGUUAGUCUGGCACCGCCUCAUUACGAUGGUGUACAAUGCCUAGCUACAUAUGGCUCAACGUUAUUCUCUGGAUCCCGAGACAUGUGUAUUAAAAGAUGGGAUUUACAAAAGAUGGAAUUAGUUCAAUCACUCAACAAUGCUCACAAAGAUUGGGUUCUUGGAUUAUGUACAGUGAACCAUGGUUCGGUUCUAAUUUCUGGCUGUCGCGGUGGUUUAUUGAGAGCAUGGUCAGUUCCUCGCGAUCAAUCCGGAGAAUGCAGCCUUUUGGGAGAGGUUCGGGCACAUAGUUCUGCAAUUAAUGCAGUUGUCACGAAUCAACAACACAUAUUCACAGCUAGCAACUCUGGAGAAGUUAAGCUGUGGCGAAUACCUGAUGCCUCGCUUAUUAUGUCUGUGUCCACAGUAUCGCUUUAACUUGUUUUAUUCAUUUGUAUUUAUUUUGUAUUUUUUUACAGCUCAUUUGGUUUUAUUUUAUAAUAAUCCGCAUGUACUUUGCUUUUCGCAUCACUAUCAUCUUAAAUCAAUGGAAAGGACAAUAUAUUUUUUAUUAUAUUUGUAAGCAAUAAACGUAUCCACCAAUUCAACUUUGAUGCAGUAAUUGCAAUUUUAAAGUUGUUGCAUCCAUCUGAUCAUUGCUCUUGAAGCUCGGUCGACUGUACAAUUCAACUGUGUCCAAGUGAAUAUGUAUAUAUAUGUAUAUAUAGAGAUGUAUUUGUUGGAUACUGGUCAACUUCUGGUUGGAUUCCUAUUUAUAUAACUCUUGUUUAACCAAAUACAAGAUGUGCAGUGCACAUUUGGACUUAGUUUCACUUUAGUUUAUUUAUCUCCAAGUAGUGACAUAUUAUUAACAUAUUACAGCAAAUUUGAUUGUCACAUGAAUCAUCAGUGAUUACAUACAGUUCUUAACACAUUGAAAACUGCUACUCCAUCCAUUGAGAAAUUCUUAAAGUGCUUACAGAAAUCUGAUGGCUCCUUGAAAUUAUGGCACUACUACAAGAGAGAUCAACGACAACGAAGCAACUCCUUGAGGCGCUGAAGUGAUGCUGCGCUUCAAUUGUAAAUUAUUAGCAAAUUUAUUUUAUAUUCUGUUGAUAAAACGCCGAAAUUAAAUUUAACUCAAUGUAACAUACAUUAUACAUUUCUUUACGUUCCUUAUCAUUUGUGGAACAUAAUCUAAAUGUACUAUGAAACCUACCACCAGUAUUUUCUUAUUGAAUACGUAUUCAACACUAGUUUAGAUGGCUUGUUGAACCGAAAUUAUACACUAAUAUGUAAUUUCCAUGAAAGGAGAAUUAGAAAAUCUCGUUAUCUAUUAAGCCUAAUGCUACUCAGUAUGGAAUAAAGUUAUACAAACAUAGUAAAA
RNAcentral lists this unclassified non-coding RNA (5819 nucleotides) under Neodiprion lecontei (redheaded pine sawfly). Its description in RNAcentral is "kinesin-like protein KIF21A, transcript variant X2". Lineage: Eukaryota; Metazoa; Arthropoda; Insecta; Hymenoptera; Diprionidae. The record is from RNAcentral.